Long non-coding RNA from Schistocerca americana (American grasshopper), 767 nucleotides. RefSeq lists it as uncharacterized. Lineage: Eukaryota; Metazoa; Arthropoda; Insecta; Orthoptera; Acrididae. The record is from RefSeq and is a predicted model, not a curated record. The transcript has 4 exons.
UUCAUGGGUCUAAGCAGACGGGUGGAAUCGGAUGCUUCCGUUGAUUUGUCACAUACAGUUCAACUAUAAAAUAUCGAGACUUAGCUAGAAUAUGGGAGUUUUUGCUGAUGAUAUCCUUUUGGAAGUGCUGCUUAUGAACUGUACCUCACAGCAAGAAUAUAAUUUGGACAUGAUUGUUUUUGAUUCCUUAUUUAUCAGUGUCUUGGAUUUGCAAUAAUGGACUACUCAACUAUCUGGAUCAAAAAAGAGGGGCCAUGUGAGACAUCUACUGUGCCAGAGUCGAUGGUCCAGGUUUACCCAUCCAAUGUGAAAGUAGAAGAGGAUAUGCAAGGGGGUAUGAAUCCGGAGGGAGCACUAAAGGCCAAAGUAGCACAACAAAUCCACACACAUUACAGGAACUCAAGGAUAAUAUCCAUGAGUCAGUUCAUUCACUUUCUCAAAGAGAAGUACAUUGUGUGACAAAUAAUUUCUUCAGUAGAUGUGAGGAAUGCGUGGAAAAAAAUGGCAAGUAGUUCCAGCAUCUCAAUGCAUGACGUAGGCAGAAGAUAGGAAUGAAGUGCCAACCUAUUUCUAAACUGGAAGUGCAGUCUGUAGCAAAUUAUGUGGAGAGUUUGCAUAGCAAUAGCAGUAAUACAAGGUGUCCAACAAAGGACUUCCUAACAUUAGAAUUAAAUAACAUGAAAAUAGUAGAAUAGACAUUAUGUUUACUGUGGAAGCAGUAAGAACUUUAUAUAGAAGCUUUGAAAUAAUAGUUACAAAACAUGGAA